CAGAAAGUAGUUUAUUUGAAAAUGUUAGUUUUGGGGACUAAGGAUAGGAUUAAUUUCUUCUUUCUGA
This 67-nucleotide transfer RNA is filed under the name Macrobrachium sp. Its description in RNAcentral is "tRNA-Pro". Lineage: Eukaryota; Metazoa; Arthropoda; Malacostraca; Decapoda; Palaemonidae. The record is from RNAcentral.